GACGAACGCUGGCGGCGUGCUUAACACAUGCAAGUCGAACGGAAAGGCCCUGCUUUUGUGGGGUGCUCGAGUGGCGAACGGGUGAGUAACACGUGAGUAACCUGCCCUUGGCUUUGGGAUAACUUCAGGAAACUGGGGCUAAUACCGGAUAGGAGCUCCUGCUGCAGGGUGGGGGUUGGAAAGUUUCGGCGGUUGGGGAUGGACUCGCGGCUUAUCAGCUUGUUGGGGGGGUAGUGGCUUACCAAGGCUUUGACGGGUAGCCGGCCUGAGAGGGUGACCGGCCACAUUGGGACUGAGAUACGGCCCAGACUCCUACGGGAGGCAGCAGUGGGGAAUAUUGCACAAUGGGCGGAAGCCUGAUGCAGCAACGCCGCGUGCGGGAUGACGGCCUUCGGGUUGUAAACCGCUUUCGCCUGUGACGAAGCGUGAGUGACGGUAAUGGGUAAAGAAGCACCGGCUAACUACGUG
This 468-nucleotide ribosomal RNA is filed under the name uncultured bacterium. Its description in RNAcentral is "partial 16S ribosomal RNA". It matches the Rfam family "Bacterial small subunit ribosomal RNA", at positions 28 to 507 of the family's 1533-position model. The record is from RNAcentral.